This is a long non-coding RNA of Pseudophryne corroboree (corroboree frog), 273 nucleotides long. RefSeq lists it as uncharacterized. Lineage: Eukaryota; Metazoa; Chordata; Amphibia; Anura; Myobatrachidae. The transcript has 3 exons. The record is from RefSeq and is a predicted model, not a curated record.
UGAAUGUCCUUUUUGAGAUCCUGCAGCUGUUGACCCUGAGUGGGAAAAUGUCUUAUCCAGGUGUAGUCUUGUGCACACCUUUCCAGACCCAUAGCAGUGGUUUGGUUGCAGAGCUGUGAUUAUAUGGACAUUCUCCACACUUGGUAUACAGCAGUUCAGACAUGCAGCCCCAUUGGAAUGUGCUGAUAGAGAUAUACUUUUAAUUAUUCGGCUUCAUUAUAUUAUGAUUGGAUUUGAUGAUUCAUGUAUGGCCCUUCUUGAAAAAGAUCCUGG